ACCUCUUCCCAUUCCGAACAGAGAAGUUAAACCUUAUCACGCCGAUGGUACUGCGAAAGCGGGAGAGUAGGUAAUCGCCCCCU
RNAcentral lists this ribosomal RNA (83 nucleotides) under Bacteroidales bacterium. Lineage: Bacteria; Pseudomonadati; Bacteroidota; Bacteroidia; Bacteroidales. The record is from RNAcentral.